Molecule: ribosomal RNA, 1401 nt
Filed under: Salmonella enterica
Lineage: Bacteria; Pseudomonadati; Pseudomonadota; Gammaproteobacteria; Enterobacterales; Enterobacteriaceae
Description: partial 23S ribosomal RNA
Rfam family: Bacterial large subunit ribosomal RNA
Source: RNAcentral
AAAUCCGGUUCACUUUAACACUGAGGCGUGACGACGAGGCACUACGGUGCUGAAGCAACAAAUGCCCUGCUUCCAGGAAAAGCCUCUAAGCAUCAGGUAACAUCAAAUCGUACCCCAAACCGACACAGGUGGUCAGGUAGAGAAUACCAAGGCGCUUGAGAGAACUCGGGUGAAGGAACUAGGCAAAAUGGUGCCGUAACUUCGGGAGAAGGCACGCUGACACGUAGGUGAAGUGAUUUACUCAUGGAGCUGAAGUCAGUCGAAGAUACCAGCUGGCUGCAACUGUUUAUUAAAAACACAGCACUGUGCAAACACGAAAGUGGACGUAUACGGUGUGACGCCUGCCCGGUGCCGGAAGGUUAAUUGAUGGGGUCAGCGCAAGCGAAGCUCCUGAUCGAAGCCCCGGUAAACGGCGGCCGUAACUAUAACGGUCCUAAGGUAGCGAAAUUCCUUGUCGGGUAAGUUCCGACCUGCACGAAUGGCGUAAUGAUGGCCAGGCUGUCUCCACCCGAGACUCAGUGAAAUUGAACUCGCUGUGAAGAUGCAGUGUACCCGCGGCAAGACGGAAAGACCCCGUGAACCUUUACUAUAGCUUGACACUGAACAUUGAGCCUUGAUGUGUAGGAUAGGUGGGAGGCUUUGAAGUGUGGACGCCAGUCUGCAUGGAGCCGACCUUGAAAUACCACCCUUUAAUGUUUGAUGUUCUAACGUGGACCCGUUACCCGGGUUGCGGACAGUGUCUGGUGGGUAGUUUGACUGGGGCGGUCUCCUCCUAAAGAGUAACGGAGGAGCACGAAGGUUGGCUAAUCCUGGUCGGACAUCAGGAGGUUAGUGCAAUGGCAUAAGCCAGCUUGACUGCGAGCGUGACGGCGCGAGCAGGUGCGAAAGCAGGUCAUAGUGAUCCGGUGGUUCUGAAUGGAAGGGCCAUCGCUCAACGGAUAAAAGGUACUCCGGGGAUAACAGGCUGAUACCGCCCAAGAGUUCAUAUCGACGGCGGUGUUUGGCACCUCGAUGUCGGCUCAUCACAUCCUGGGGCUGAAGUAGGUCCCAAGGGUAUGGCUGUUCGCCAUUUAAAGUGGUACGCGAGCUGGGUUUAGAACGUCGUGAGACAGUUCGGUCCCUAUCUGCCGUGGGCGCUGGAGAACUGAGGGGGGCUGCUCCUAGUACGAGAGGACCGGAGUGGACGCAUCACUGGUGUUCGGGUUGUCAUGCCAAUGGCACUGCCCGGUAGCUAAAUGCGGAAGAGAUAAGUGCUGAAAGCAUCUAAGCACGAAACUUGCCCCGAGAUGAGUUCUCCCUGAGACUUUAGGUCUCCUGAAGGAACGUUGAAGACGACGACGUUGAUAGGCCGGGUGUGUAAGCGCAGCGAUGCGUUGAGCUAACCGGUACUAAUGAACCGUG